AGAGUUUGAUCCUGGCUCAGGACGAACGCUGGCGGCGUGCUUAACACAUGCAAGUCGAACGGUGAACCCCUUCGGGGGGGAUCAGUGGCGAACGGGUGAGUAACACGUGAGCAACCUGCCCCUGGCUCUGGGACAACCACUGGAAACGGUGGCUAAUACCGGAUACGACCCGCCUCGGCAUCGAGUGUGGGUGGAAAGUUUUUCGGCUGGGGAUGGGCUCGCGGCCUAUCAGCUUGUUGGUGGGGUGAUGGCCCACCAAGGCGACGACGGGUAGCCGGCCUGAGAGGGCGACCGGCCACACUGGGACUGAGACACGGCCCAGACUCCUACGGGAGGCAGCAGUGGGGAAUAUUGCACAAUGGGCGAAAGCCUGAUGCAGCGACGCCGCGUGAGGGAUGACGGCCUUCGGGUUGUAAACCUCUUUCAGCUCCGAAGAAGCGCAAGUGACGGUAGGAGCAGAAGAAGCACCGGCUAACUACGUGCCAGCAGCCGCGGUAAUACGUAGGGUGCAAGCGUUGUCCGGAAUUAUUGGGCGUAAAGAGCUCGUAGGCGGUGUGUCGCGUCUGCUGUGAAAACUCAGGGCUCAGCUCUGAGCUUGCAGUGGGUACGGGCACACUUUGAGUGCUGUAGGGGAGACUGGAAUUCCUGGGUGUAGCGGUGAAAUGCGCAGAUAUCAGGAGGAACACCGGUGGCGAAGGCGGGUCUCUGGGCAGUUACUGACGCUGAGGAGCGAAAGCAUGGGGAGCGAACAGGAUUAGAUACCCUAGUAGUCC
RNAcentral lists this ribosomal RNA (773 nucleotides) under uncultured bacterium. RNAcentral's name for it is "bacterial SSU rRNA". It matches the Rfam family "Bacterial small subunit ribosomal RNA", at positions 8 to 796 of the family's 1533-position model. The record is from RNAcentral.